AUCCAGCUGACGAGUCCCAAAUAGGACGAAACGUGCAU
This is a non-coding RNA of Schistosoma margrebowiei, 38 nucleotides long. The record is from Rfam. NCBI's taxonomy places the organism in Eukaryota, Metazoa, Platyhelminthes, Trematoda, Strigeidida, Schistosomatidae.